GUGUGUGUGUGUGUGUGUGUGUGUGUGUGUGAGGGGUUUAGUUCAAUGGUGAUCUAAACGAAUAGGUACACUGAGUAAGUGUUAUAAUUGGUCAUCUGUUAGGUUCUAAGUUCACAGCUGAGGCUGGAGCUAGGGAUCUGUAUUAGGCUUCUGAGUUAGCCGAUUGCUCUAAUAUAUAUAUAUAUAUAUAUAUAUAUA
This is a long non-coding RNA of Octopus sinensis (East Asian common octopus), 198 nucleotides long. RefSeq lists it as uncharacterized. The transcript has 4 exons. Lineage: Eukaryota; Metazoa; Mollusca; Cephalopoda; Octopoda; Octopodidae. The record is from RefSeq and is a predicted model, not a curated record.